AGUGGCAGACGGGUGAGUAACACGUGGGAACGUGCCCCAAGGUACGGAGUAGCAGCGGGAAACUGCUGGUAAUACCGUAUGUGACCGAGAGGUGAAAGAUUUAUCGCCUUGGGAGCGGCCCGCGUCUGAUUAGGCAGUUGGUGGGGUAAUGGCCUACCAAGCCGACGAUCAGUAGCUGGUCUGAGAGGAUGAUCAGCCACAUUGGGACUGAGACACGGCCCAAACUCCUACGGGAGGCAGCAGUCGGGAAUAUUGGACAAUGGGCGCAAGCCUGAUCCAGCCAUGCCGCGUGGAUGAUGAAGGCCUUCGGGUUGUAAAAUCCUUUCGUCCGGGACGAUAAUGACGGUACCGGAAGAAGAAGCCCCGGCUAACUUCGUGCCAGCGGCCGCGGUAAUACGAAGGGGGCUAGCGUUGUUCGGAUUUACUGGGCGUAAAGCGCAUGUAGGCGGGUCGUUAAGUCGGGGGUGAAAGCCCAGAGCUCAACUCUGGAACUGCCUUCGAUACUGACGACCUGGAGCAGGUCAGAGGCGAGUGGAAUUGCGAGUGUAGAGGUGAAAUUCGUAGAUAUUCGCAGGAACACCAGUGGCGAAGGCGACUCGCUGGGACUUUGCAGACGCUGAGAUGCGAAAGCGUGGGGAGCAAACAGGAUUAGAUACCCUGGUAGUCCACGCCGUAAACGAUGGAUGCUAGUUGUCG
This 696-nucleotide ribosomal RNA is filed under the name uncultured Hyphomicrobiales bacterium. RNAcentral describes it as "bacterial SSU rRNA". It matches the Rfam family "Bacterial small subunit ribosomal RNA", at positions 94 to 825 of the family's 1533-position model. Lineage: Bacteria; Pseudomonadati; Pseudomonadota; Alphaproteobacteria; Hyphomicrobiales. The record is from RNAcentral.